This 465-nucleotide ribosomal RNA is filed under the name uncultured bacterium. RNAcentral's name for it is "partial 16S ribosomal RNA". It matches the Rfam family "Bacterial small subunit ribosomal RNA", at positions 28 to 507 of the family's 1533-position model. The record is from RNAcentral.
GAUGAACGCUGGCGGCGUGCUUAACACAUGCAAGUCGAACGGAAAGGCUCCUGCUUGCAGGGGUACUCGAGUGGCGAAGGGGAGAGUAACACGUGGGAGAUCUGCCCUGCACUUGGGGAUACGCCUGGGAAAGUGGGUAUAAUACCGGAGAGGACCACAUUAUGGAUGGGGUGGUGGAAAGUUUUUCGGUGGGGGAUGAGCUCGCGGCCUAUCAGCUUGUUGGUGGGGUAAGGGCUUCCCAAGGGGUCGACGGGAACCGGGCCGGGGGGGGUGUACGGCCACAUUGGGACUGAGAUACGGCCCAGACUCCUACGGGAGCCAGCAGUGGGGAAUUUGGCACAAUGGGCGCAAGCCGGAGGAAGCGACGCCGGUGGGGGAAUGACGGCCUUCGGUUGGUAACCUCCUUUCGCUAGGGACGAAGCUCUAGUGACGGUACCUGGAGAAGAAGCACCGGCUAACUACGUG